This 138-nucleotide unclassified non-coding RNA is filed under the name Acinetobacter calcoaceticus. Its description in RNAcentral is "yybP-ykoY". The record is from RNAcentral. Lineage: Bacteria; Pseudomonadati; Pseudomonadota; Gammaproteobacteria; Moraxellales; Moraxellaceae.
UUAGUUUGACAAGGGGAGUAGCCUCCUCCAAACAUAGCAGCAAUGUUAUGUGUCAGAUAUCGUCAAUACACUUUUAUUAAAAAGUCGGUAUCUGAGCAUCAUGAAAUUCAUGAUGUAGGCAAGACCUUGAUCAUGUUG